CCGUUAAAAUAAAAUUAUUUGUAUUGUUUCAUGAAAAAAACUAAUUAUGAUAACACAAAAUUGUUCUAUAACUGAAAUUGGAAUUAAACAAGUAAGAACAACCGCAUAAGAUUUUGAGCAGUGUUGAAAUGGUAGUAGCAGUAAGGGAAAUAUGUUCCAUAGAUUUUGACAUAUCUUCUUCUCUAACUUCUUAACUUCAUAUUCUCAUCACUGCACCACGCUUGACGUCACACCACCAUUUCAUCUUCCCGUUUCAUCAUUAUUUUCUCAGAUCUAUAAAUAAAACAAAAAAAAAAAUCAAUUACAAAUAUCAUAACAAGAGGAAGAGAAAGAGAGUGUGUAAUAAGAGGAAGGGAGACGAGAUAUUGACCAUAAACAAACAAAGGUUUGAGCAUUGAAACUGAUGUUGAACCAGAUCAGAUAUUAACCCUAAAAAAAGAUUCAAAACAGAGGGAGGGGGAAGAGCAGAGGGAGAGAAAAAAACCAGAUUUGCUUAGCUCUGAUACCACCAUCGCCUCAGAGACACGUUGCCUCUUCCUCUGCCAUCUCCAGCUCUGGUUAGCCAUGAGAUUCAAAUUUAUUUAGAUCUGAGUUUUUUCUUAAAUAAACAGAGAACAAGAAGAGAUGAAACACCAAGAUGAAAUAUAUAAGAUUCAAAAAACAAGAAGAGGAAAUCAUGUAAAAUCUGAGAUUGAAAACUAAUUGAAAGAAUGUUAAGAAGAUGAAAGAACGAGUGAUAGAAAGAUAAACAGAUGAAAACUUUUGUUUACUGCAAAACGUCUUUUCAGAAUUAAUGCACAAACG
This 804-nucleotide long non-coding RNA is filed under the name Brassica rapa (field mustard). Its description in RNAcentral is "long non-coding RNA (BRAP_LNC004222)". The record is from RNAcentral. Lineage: Eukaryota; Viridiplantae; Streptophyta; Magnoliopsida; Brassicales; Brassicaceae.